AGAGUUUGAUCCUGGCUCAGAACGAACGCUGGCGGCGUGCUUAACACAUGCAAGUCGAACGCGAAAGGGACUUCGGUCCUGAGUAAAGUGGCGCACGGGUGAGUAACGCGUGGAUAAUCUACCCAAUGAUCUGGGAUAACAUCUCGAAAGGGGUGCUAAUACCGGAUAAGACCACGAAGUCUUAGGACUUUGCGGUAAAAGGUGGGGACCUUCGGGCCUACCGUCAUCGGAUGAGUCCGCGUACCAUUAGCUAGUUGGUGGGGUAAUGGCCUACCAAGGCUACGAUGGUUAGCUGGUCUGAGAGGAUGAUCAGCCACACUGGAACUGAGACACGGUC
RNAcentral lists this ribosomal RNA (337 nucleotides) under uncultured bacterium. RNAcentral describes it as "bacterial SSU rRNA". It matches the Rfam family "Bacterial small subunit ribosomal RNA", at positions 8 to 331 of the family's 1533-position model. The record is from RNAcentral.